AUGGCACAUUGCGAAACCAGUCUGGCCACCUUCUACUUCUCCUCGAGCACUGAUCAAUGGCAAGCCGCUGCACCCAAGGAUUUGAAUGAUUUGGCCCCUGGCAAGGGCUAUAUUCACAGGAGCCAUUAUGCUUAUGGCUGUUUCUAUUGGGACUGGGUGAAUUUUGGAAUGAAAAAAUUGCUCUUGCUUAACACCAGAAAGAUGGAGUUCUCCACUGCUGACCUCCCACCAGGAGAAUGGACCUAUGAAGGUAUAGCCAUUGUGGAGGCAGGGGAAGGCAGGCUUGGGAUCUUUGGUUUCCACUGUGAAAUUUCACCCGAUCUCAGCUAUACCGUUGCACGGAAAAAAGGCGAGAGUCCGAGUCAGUGGCAGAUGGAGAAGACAAUCUCACUAGAUUCUAGAUACAAAUAUUUUAUCAAAGAUGCAACACAGAGGUACUUGUUCUUAACGAGGAGAGAAGCCUCAUCUCUAUAUAAUGAACUUGUUGGAUAUUUCUCAAUAGACGUCAAGACAUUGCAGCUUCAGAGGGUUUAUCAGAAACAACACUAUCCUUGGAAUGAGGCAUAUUCAUAUAUCAACUUCCCACCAUCAUUGUUGUCUUCAAGGAGAAUAUGA
This 615-nucleotide ribosomal RNA is filed under the name Triticum aestivum (bread wheat). RNAcentral describes it as "partial small subunit ribosomal RNA". Lineage: Eukaryota; Viridiplantae; Streptophyta; Magnoliopsida; Poales; Poaceae. The record is from RNAcentral.